This 254-nucleotide ribosomal RNA is filed under the name uncultured bacterium. RNAcentral describes it as "partial 16S ribosomal RNA". It matches the Rfam family "Bacterial small subunit ribosomal RNA", at positions 524 to 776 of the family's 1533-position model. The record is from RNAcentral.
CACGUAGGGUGCGAGCGUUGUCCGGAAUUAUUGGGCGUAAAGAGCUCGUAGGCGGUGUGUCGCGUCGGCCGUGAAAACCUGCAGCUUAACUGUGGGCUUGCGGUCGAUACGGGCAUCACUGGAGUUCGGCAGGGGAGACUGGAAUUCCUGGUGUAGCGGUGAAAUGCGUAGAUAUCUGGAGGAACACCGGUGGCGAAGGCGGCAUCCUGGACCGGCAUUGACGCUGAACAGCGAAAGCCAGGGGAGCAAACGGG